UUCUGACCACGGGGCUAAAAGUUGUAAGUGCUGCUGCUUCAAUGGGACCCAAUGCAGCAGCCACUUAGCAUACCUAAAACUGGGAUUUAAGUGUCUAAGUACCUUUUGUGGAUAUGAGCUAAACUCCCUUUAUUUUGUCUCGUGCUAAUGGAAUAGUGAAACGUCACUCUGCACCCCCUUAUAUUUAUAAUAGUGACUUAAACUUUUGGUCCAAGUCAUUUAACAAAGUGUUUGCCUACGAUGGAAUGCCUAUCCCCACAGAGGUGAUGAAAAGGUGAACAUGGGAUAGGGAGGCCAAUGCUGCUUGCAUCUGGAGGCUGUGGUUGGCCUAAUUAAUGAUGAAAUCCAGCUGGGGAGGGGGCGGGAUAGACAGAGGAAGGUUAGACCAGAAGGGGGCUACAGGGAGAACCUCUGUAGUCACUUUAGGAGGGUGUAAAGAGACCUAUAGGGAAAAGGAAAGCUUUUGCGGGAUAAGUGGCAAGGCUGGGUAGGAAGAAGUCCGGUGGAGUGAACCUUGACUGCCUGUCUGAGGGUCUCUGGACUGGAAUCCCAUGUAGAGCGUGGGUCUGUGUUCCCUUACCAGCCACCGUGGAAGAUGGCAUAAAUAUCCUGACAAAAAGGGAUACAGACUUGUGAGAGCCCUGAGUAAAAGGAUGACUGGGCCACUAGGCUCAGAUGGAGAGAUUGGACACUUGUUUCUAUUAUCCUAAAAGGAGAGAGAUUUUUAAAGUGACUUGACUGGAGAGCCACAUCAAAAGAAGCAGCAGACCAGAUGGUGCAACACAGGACAGACCUGCUAUGCCGGACCCAGCUGUGAGGGGGUGCUGUAGCGAGCUUUUCAGAUGAAGAGAUUGCUGUAGAGGAGGGUGACCAAUCAGAUUGAAGGAAAGACAAUAGCUAUACUGGAUAAUGAAUCAUUUCACCUCCUGCUAUGAAUGAUGCAAUGUCUCUAACAUUUGCUUGGAAAAACAAGCAAACUGGAAACAGCAUCUAAGCCCUGAGGCAGCAUUUCUGGACACCACAAUGAAUGCAACAAAAGGAGAAAUUUAACAACAUAUAUAAACAACGUAACCAAUAUAAACAACAUAACUGAUAGCAGCAACACUCUAACACAUGAAGUCUUUUAGCAUGGGGUAAAUUAGUUAACAUCAAUCCCUUUUCUUACAUCGUUCCCUUUUUAAGGUUUCUCAACCUGACUGUUGUCAAAAUAUCAUUACUGUAGUGAAAACAAUUACCUAAUAAAGUGAAAAAAGCCAGCAGUAAAGGGAAAAUGUCACUGAUAUUUUUUAGACUGCUGAUUUGGGCAUAUUUUUUCCUUGGGAAUGUAUUUUUAAUUUCUGUAAAAGGAGCCAGGAGCCCAGGUUAGGCGCUUUGAUUUAGAUUUAUAGUAAAAUACAAUCAGUAAAUAAUUUUCAGUUUCUUUUCGUGCAGAAUUCUUCCAAAAACGUAACUGAAUGUCUUGCUUACUUGUAUUAUCUAGUUCCAUUUUCCUGUUAUUAAAAGUAAUAGAAAACAAAUUUCCUGUAGUUUAUGGAUAGAAACAACUAGGUAGAGCUUUAAAACCAAUCAGAUUUAUAUUCCAGUUUGACUAUAAUGUUGUCAACUUUCUAUGUUAGAGGUACUCAUUUAUUAUUUAAUAUAGCUAUUUACGGCAUUCCCUCAUUCUGCAAUCAGAACAACAAUAUUGCUUUUUGACGCUUGUUUUUUAACACAUAGCAUAUAAUCAUAUAGAGACAUCAUUUCCCUAUAAAAUUCUAUAGAACACGCCUAUUAAAAAAAAUUCUACUAAAUUCCAUAAUGUUGUGGGGUAAUUUCCACAGAAUUUUAAUAAACAUCUAUAGACUCCUAUUGUUUAAUUCCUAUUAGAUUAUAUAAGACUGUUCUAUAACAGAUGUUCUACUAAAGUCCUAAGAUCUUUAAAUAAAGGACUCACUAAUAAUCACAGAAAACAUCAGAACCAUCUCAAUUUUCAGCCUAAACCUCAAGGCAUUUUGGACAGGUUUAUGAUAAUCCACCAUAAUCUUUUGUACUGGUAUAGUACCUACUAAUUCAAGAAUCUGUGAGCCUUACAGAGGAGUUUGAAUAUUAUCCUCUUUUUACAGAUGGGGAAACAAAACAUAAAGAGGUGAAGUGACUUGCCCUUCUCAUUCAUGUGAUCCAUCAGUGACAGAGCUGGGAACCUAGCUAAAUACCAACACUUAGAUACUAUAGUGGCAGACCCCAUAUAAAUACACUAGACAGAUAUACAGACAUCAUCCUGGAAUCUAAACAUUCCACCUGUCCUGCAAGAAAAGAGAGUGUGUUUUUGCCGCAUGAACUCAAUAUUAUUCAAUUGAAAUAACUAGAGGUUUUUUUUUUUUAACUGAACUUAAAAAAGGAAACACUGUAAUGAAAUUUUUCCAACAUUUUUUUACAUCUGUAGAUCUGGUGACUUUUUUUAAAUUUCAACCUAAUUUCAAUUUAAUUUUAUUUGGACUGUCCAUCACAGAGUAUCUAAGAAUGUGUAUAAAAUUAUAACCUCAGAUAAUGGAUGUACUAAACUCAUUUUAUACCAUUACAGCUGGUGCCUUCACAGAAUUCAAUUUAUGCAAAUAAGUUGUCUAAUCAGUGUGUCCAACUGUUUAGAUUGUCAGGUCGAGUAGCAGUAGUAAAAUUUGUUUCCCUUUUUUAGCUCAGUUUUCCUCAAUCUUUAUUUUAUGAAAUAUCUGUAAUUUUUAAGAGACAAAAAUCCAAGCACAACUUUGUUUUCCACAAUUAGGCUAGUCCUUUUUGAGCCACAGUUAAGCCAAAGUAGCUGAGACAGAAGGGAUAUAUUAUUAUCACUACAUUCUGAAUCAAAGAUUUUGUACGGUAGGUGAUCCAUUAUUUUUGUCAUGUGGCUCUCCUGUGUACUGUUCACCCUACAGAAGGGACUAUCUCAAAAAGCAAUAAAUAAUGCAUCAUAGCCAUUAAAUAUUGAUCUGGCUUAUACCAUUCAGAGCUGCACAAUUAGGUUAGCUUUUUAAAAAUAGCUUCUUGUAUAUUACACAUCAAGAGAGGAGUGUUUGCACAUUCUCUCUGUAAAAUACAUUAGUUGAAUUUUAA
Molecule: long non-coding RNA, 3084 nt
Organism: Chelonia mydas (Green sea turtle)
Lineage: Eukaryota; Metazoa; Chordata; Testudines; Cheloniidae
Exons: 2
Source: RefSeq, a predicted model, not a curated record